RNAcentral lists this ribosomal RNA (460 nucleotides) under uncultured bacterium. Its description in RNAcentral is "partial 16S ribosomal RNA". It matches the Rfam family "Bacterial small subunit ribosomal RNA", at positions 338 to 795 of the family's 1533-position model. The record is from RNAcentral.
CCUACGGGUGGCAGCAGUGAGGAAUAUUUGGCAAUGGGCGCGAGCCUGAACCAGCCAAGUAGCGUGAAAGAUGACUGCCCUACGGGUUGUAAACUUCUUUUAUAAAGGAAUAAAGUGCGGCACGUGUGCCUUUUUGUAUGUACCUUAUGAAUAAGGAUCGGCUAACUCCGUGCCAGCAGCCGCGGUAAUACGGAGGAUCCGAGCGUUAUCCGGAUUUAUUGGGUUUAAAGGGAGCGUAGGUGGGUUGUUAAGUCAGUUGUGAAAGUUUGCGGCUCAACCGUAAAAUUGCAAUUGAUACUGGCAGCCUAGAGUACAGUUGAGGUAGGCGGAAUUCGUGGUGUAGCGGUGAAAUGCUUAGAUAUCACGAAGAACUCCGAUUGCGAAGGCAGCCUACUAGACUGCAACUGACAUUGAUGCACGAAAGUGUGGGUAUCAAACAGGAUUAGAUACCCCUGUAGUC